Molecule: ribosomal RNA, 440 nt
Filed under: uncultured bacterium
Lineage: Bacteria
Description: partial 16S ribosomal RNA
Rfam family: Bacterial small subunit ribosomal RNA
Source: RNAcentral
CCUACGGGAGGCAGCAGUGGGGAAUAUUGCACAAUGGGGGAAACCCUGAUGCAGCGACGCCGCGUGAGCGAGGAAGUAUUUCGGUAUGUAAAGCUCUAUCAGCAGGGACGAAAAAAGACGGUACCUGACUCAGCAGCCCCGGCUAACUACAUGCCAGCAGCCGCGGUAAUACGUAGGGGGCGAGCGUUAUCCGGUUUUAUUGGGUUUAAGGGGUGCGCAGGCGGAGGUGAAAGUCAGCGGUAAAAUUGCGGGGCUCAACCCCGUACUGCCGUUGAAACUGCAUCCCUUGAGUGCGCGAGAGGUAUGCGGAAUGCGUGGUGUAGCGGUGAAAUGCAUAGAUAUCACGCAGAACUCCGAUUGCGAAGGCAGCAUACCGGCGCGCAACUGACGCUCAUGCACGAAAGCGUGGGUAUCGAACAGGAUUAGAUACCCGAGUAGUC